Molecule: ribosomal RNA, 314 nt
Filed under: uncultured Glissomonadida
Lineage: Eukaryota; Cercozoa; Glissomonadida
Description: bacterial SSU rRNA
Rfam family: Eukaryotic small subunit ribosomal RNA (bases 127-314)
Source: RNAcentral
GAUUUCUGGUUAAGUAACGCUAGCGCCCUUGCCAGGGGUGUGCGCUGGUUAGUUGCUUGCCAUCUUUCUAGAAAGCCAGCGUUUGUCAUUCACUUGGCGGACGUGACGCGAUCUAGAUCUUUUACUUUAGAGUGUUAAAGCAGGCUUACGCUAUGAAAUACAUUAGCAUGGAAUAAUAAUAUAGGACUUUGGUUCUAUUUUGUUGGCUUCUAGGACCGAAGUAAUGAUUGAUAGGGAUAGUUGGGGGUGCUAGUAUUCAGUGGCCAGAGGUGAAAUUCUUGGAUUCACUGAAGACUAACUACUUCGAAAGCAUU